CGGUAAUACGGAGGGUGCAAGCGUUACUCGGAAUCACUGGGCGUAAAGCGCGCGCAGGCGGUCUAUUAAGUUGGAUGUGAAAGCCUACGGCUCAACCGUAGAACUGCAUCCAAAACUAUUAGACUAGAGUGUGGGAGAGGAAGAUGGAAUUAGUUGUGUAGGGGUAAAAUCCGUAGAGAUAACUAGGAAUACCAAAAGCGAAGGCAAUCUUCUGGAACACUACUGACGCUGAGGCGCGAAAGCGUGGGGAGCAAACAGGAUUAGAUACCCUGGUAGUCCACGCAGUAAACGAUGAAUGUUAGUCGUCGGGGGCCUAGUGUCUUCGGUGAUGCAGCUAACGCAUUAAACAUUCCGCCUGGGGAGUACGGUCGCAAGAUUAAAACUCAAAGGAAUAGACGGGGACCCGCACAAGUGGUGGAGCAUGUGGUUUAAUUCGAAGAUACGCGAAGAACCUUACCUAGCCUUGACAUAUUUGAAAAUCCACCAGAGAUGGAGGAGUGCCUUCGGGAGUUCAUAUACAGGUGCUGCACGGCUGUCGUCAGCUCGUGUCGUGAGAUGUUGGGUUAAGUCCCGCAACGAGCGCAACCCUCGUCACUAGUUACUAACGAUUCGGUCGAGGACUCUAGUGAGACUGCCUUCGCAAGAAGGAGGAAGGUGAGGACGACGUCAAGUCAUCAUGGCCCUUACGGCUAGGGCAACACACGUGCUACAAUGGCCAGGACAGUGAGAAGCGAUACCGCGAGGUGGAGCAAAUCUAUAAACCUGGUCUCAGUUCGGAUUGUAGUCUGCAACUCGACUACAUGAAGCUGGAAUCACUAGUAAUCGUAGAUCAGCUAUGCUACGGUGAAUACGUUCCCGGG
Molecule: ribosomal RNA, 860 nt
Filed under: uncultured bacterium
Lineage: Bacteria
Description: bacterial SSU rRNA
Rfam family: Bacterial small subunit ribosomal RNA
Source: RNAcentral